Molecule: transfer RNA, 85 nt
Filed under: Blastopirellula retiformator
Lineage: Bacteria; Pseudomonadati; Planctomycetota; Planctomycetia; Pirellulales; Pirellulaceae
Description: Planctomycetes bacterium Enr8 tRNA-Leu
Rfam family: tRNA
About the family: Transfer RNA (tRNA) molecules are approximately 80 nucleotides in length. Their secondary structure includes four short double-helical elements and three loops (D, anti-codon, and T loops).
Source: RNAcentral
GCCGGAGUGGCGGAAUUGGCAGACGCGCUGGAUUCAAAAUCCAGUUCUCGCAAGGGAGUGUGGGUUCGAUUCCCACCUCCGGCAC